UGUGCAGUGUGAGUGUGCCAGGGCUCCUGGCCAGUCUCAGAAGUGUGCGGACGGAGGUCGCCAGAGGAUCAGACCACAGAACAAGGCCAGUGUUGGCAGCCCUGAGGAGCAGAGAGAUUCCAGGCUCUUCUGAGAGGAGAGGCCCACUCACUGAGAGCUGUCCUGAGUGAAAUGACAUUAUCUGACUGAGGAAUCAGGGCGGGUCUUUUUGAUGAUUGUUGUUGCUAUCCAACUGCUUUUUUGUUUUUUUGAGCGUCACUGGAGUUAUUAACUGCGGAGAGUUCGGUUGGCAGAUGAGGAAGAAGGGGGCCACAGGAAGGAGCCAAUUUGCUCAAGGACACAGGGCAAACAUGUGGCAGAAGUGAGAAUGACAAAAGUCCUGAUUACAACAGUGGACCGCGGCGCUUGCUGUAAAGUACCAGACGCUGUGCUAAGCAUCACCUUCCCUCAUCUUCACGACAAUUAAAAAGUAAACCUCAUCACCCACACUUUACAGAGAAGGCAACUGAGGCUCAGAGGAGGUACUCCUUUCUGGCAUCCUGACUUUUCUUGGAGGAUUUUUUGCAACUGCUGGUUGGCAAAGGGGAAAAUCUCAUUUUUGAAGGAUAAUGAAGAAAGGGAGGAAGGGAGGAGAAGAAACAGAAUACAAGGGCCAAGCUGGCCCCUGUAAUAAAAUGUCAUCCCGUAAGAUGU
This is a long non-coding RNA of Sapajus apella (tufted capuchin), 693 nucleotides long. RefSeq lists it as uncharacterized. The transcript is spliced from 2 exons. NCBI's taxonomy places the organism in Eukaryota, Metazoa, Chordata, Mammalia, Primates, Cebidae. The record is from RefSeq and is a predicted model, not a curated record.